GGAUAACGUUUGGAAACGAACGCUAAUACCGCAUGAUAUUAUUGAGCUGCAUGGCUUGAUAAUCAAAGGAGCAAUCCGCUGAAAGAUGGGCUCGCGUCCGAUUAGGUAGUUGGCGGGGCAACGGCCCACCAAGCCGACGAUCGGUAGCCGGACUGAGAGGUUGAACGGCCACAUUGGGACUGAGACACGGCCCAGACUCCUACGGGAGGCAGCAGUGAGGGAUAUUGGUCAAUGGGGGAAACCCUGAACCAGCAACGCCGCGUGAGGGAAGACGGUUUUCGGAUUGUAAACCUCUGUCCUCUGUGAAGAUAAUGACGGUAGCAGAGGAGGAAGCUCCGGCUAACUACGUGCCAGCAGCCGCGGUAAUACGUAGGGAGCUAGCGUUGUCCGGAUUUACUGGGUGUAAAGGGUGCGUAGGCGGCUUUGCAAGUCAGAAGUGAAAUCCAUGGGCUUAACCCAUGAACUGCUUUUGAAACUGCAGAGCUUGAGUGGAGUAGAGGUAGGCGGAAUUCCCGGUGUAGCGGUGAAAUGCGUAGAGAUCGGGAGGAACACCAGUGGCGAAGGCGGCCUGCUGGGCUCUAACUGACGCUGAGGCACGAAAGCGUGGGUAGCAAACAGGAUUAGAUACCCUGGUAGUCCACGCUGUAAACGAUGAUUACUAGGUGUGGGUGGACUGACCCCAUCCGUGCCGGA
RNAcentral lists this ribosomal RNA (693 nucleotides) under uncultured bacterium. Its description in RNAcentral is "bacterial SSU rRNA". It matches the Rfam family "Bacterial small subunit ribosomal RNA", at positions 141 to 850 of the family's 1533-position model. The record is from RNAcentral.